UUAUGACGUUUGCAUUAAGUAGUAAUGUGGUUUUUAUACAGUCUAUGGGUAACACGCAGAUAUUGAAAGGUAAAAAUCAGUAAACACAUCAUUGAUUACGUAUAUUUGUACAGGCAAGCAUAUGAACCCAGAAUAUAAACGCAAUGUACAAAGUUUCACGUAAAAUGGUUUCCCAUAGAAAACGAUUAUAAGGAAAACACUGAACCAUUAAGCGGAUUGCGUUCAUAUUCCGACCACAUCUGCUUGUCUAUGUAAGUAUAUAUUUACGUCUAUGGUUUUGUCAUCCGCUAAAAACCUGCUUAGCAACAGGACACACCUCUCCUGGUACUAUGGAUUUGUGAGCCAAUCACGAUUGAGUUUCAGCGUGACGUCGUUUUUGUUGACACUUCUAUUAGCUGGCCACCCGCGAAACGUCACUGCAGAAGCACGCGCGCGUGACCUUCGCCGUCCACCGAGCGUUUUCUGCCUGGAAACACCGCGAGCUAGUCACACAGCUGCUACAUCGCGAGCUUCCUGAGGCUGGAGUCGGAGUUGGGUAAAGUCUUGCUGUGCCUCGGCUCGUUAAUGCACUAUUGAUCUGUUUUUGUCCCUGUCACGGUGACAAACGCUCCCAAGUGCUUGUUGCGUCUAAAUGGGGUCUGAUCAGAGUACCAGUUUGGCUGCUGACCAACAGCAGAAGGAUUCAGGGAAUCUGUCAUUGAAAGGUGAAGUAUCUUCAUCCAAUGCCCAAGCCGAUACUGGUCCUGAGCCCCAGGACAGUCUGGAUCCAGACACUGACUUGCCCCAGUGCCGAAUGGGCAACAGAAAGGUAGACGACAUGAGCUUUAUGAUAUCCUGCACUAACUGGUAUUAAAAACCAAAGAAGCACUGUGAAAGAACUGACUAGACUGGAAGUUUCGUCCACAAUGAGUGCCAAAUUCAGAACAGGACAACGGAAGACAUGUUGGUGCUGUAGUUGCAGUGCAAUGGGUUUGAUGUGAUUUAUGCCUUUUAUAAGUUGUGCAAUGUGUUUGAAGACAUAGAGAAUAAAGUUAUUGCACUAGCUGUGCACGUACUGAUUGCAUGAUAUCAAAAGCUUGUAGUAUGUAGUUGAUAUCAACCUGUGAUAAUUAAGUAUGUAUGUAUAUAUAUAUGUCAUUAUAUAAUGCAUCAAACAUCACUUGGCAUUUCUGUAAUUUUAUUUUAUUGACAUUUCUUUGAACAUGGUGAUAGUAGAUACACAGUGUAAAACUGUAAACUGAAAACCGAAAUAAAAACGACUCAAUGUUUACAGAAUUAAAAACAGGAUUUAAGAAAUAAAACUUAAAUCAUAUCUAAUAUUAAUAAAUCAAUCCGUUUAAGAUCACUCUCAUUUAUUAAUAAUCAACAUUAUGCAUGACAAUGUGUCAUAGGAAAUCAGAGGCUACUGUUAAGAGUUAAAGCAAAAUACAAAAGGUCCAAAAAGUUUCAGUAAAUCUUUAUAUUUACAUGAUCAUUAAAACCUGAAGAGGCUGAGCAGACAGCAACAUUUGACCAGUAAAUCAGAAAAUAUCAAAAUUCCAAUGACAGAAUCUACAUUUAUUUAAAUCACAGAGUGAAACAUUCACUCUUAAAUUCUUGUCAAAGGGAAAAAAGAACCAGUUAUAUACACAGAUACAGUUGAAAUUACAUCAUGGUCAGCCAAGAAAAUUAAUAAGAAUAAAAAACAAACCAAAUUUUUUUAAAGCUAUCUCAGAUAAAAUCUCCAUUAAAGUUAACCCUCUGUAAU
Molecule: long non-coding RNA, 1747 nt
Organism: Carassius carassius (crucian carp)
Lineage: Eukaryota; Metazoa; Chordata; Actinopteri; Cypriniformes; Cyprinidae
Exons: 2
Source: RefSeq, a predicted model, not a curated record